RNAcentral lists this long non-coding RNA (223 nucleotides) under Theobroma cacao (cacao). Its description in RNAcentral is "long non-coding RNA (TCAC_LNC002969)". The record is from RNAcentral. Lineage: Eukaryota; Viridiplantae; Streptophyta; Magnoliopsida; Malvales; Malvaceae.
AGUGACACGUGGGCUCACAUCUAACCAAAAUGCAUCGGAAGCUGGAAACCUACAGCUUUUACCGAUUCAAGUCCAAAUGAAAGUCCUUGUCAAAGUCAGCUAACUAUGGAAUUCUCCGAGCCUGAAAUGUGAGGAAAUGAGGGUGGUGAGAUUAUAAAAUCCCAGUGAGUAAAUAGAUACCAUCUAAACUAUCUAAAGUCGAGUAAAUGGAGACAAUUAAAAU